GGAAUAUUGGACAAUGGGCGCAAGCCUGAUCCAGCAAUGCCGCGUGGGUGAAGAAGGUCUUCGGAUCGUAAAGCCCUUUCGACGGGGACGAUGAUGACGGUACCCGUAGAAGAAGCCCCGGCUAACUUCGUGCCAGCAGCCGCGGUAAUACGAAGGGGGCUAGCGUUGCUCGGAAUCACUGGGCGUAAAGGGCGCGUAGGCGGCCAUUCAAGUCGGGGGUGAAAGCCCAGGGCUCAACCCUGGAAUUGCCUUCGAUACUGUUUGGCUUGAGUUUGGUAGAGGUUGGUGGAACUGCGAGUGUAGAGGUGAAAUUCGUAGAUAUUCGGAGGAACACCAGUGGCGAAGGCGGCUCACUGGC
This 358-nucleotide ribosomal RNA is filed under the name Chloropicon mariensis. Its description in RNAcentral is "partial Bacterial small subunit ribosomal RNA". It matches the Rfam family "Bacterial small subunit ribosomal RNA", at positions 358 to 733 of the family's 1533-position model. Lineage: Eukaryota; Viridiplantae; Chlorophyta; Chloropicophyceae; Chloropicales; Chloropicaceae. The record is from RNAcentral.